This 270-nucleotide long non-coding RNA is filed under the name Mytilus galloprovincialis (Mediterranean mussel). Lineage: Eukaryota; Metazoa; Mollusca; Bivalvia; Mytilida; Mytilidae. The record is from RNAcentral.
GGGGGGGGAUUUUAGAGUAAAAUGGGAAGGGAAAUAUAGUUGGGGUCAAGGAGUAGAAACUGUCCCGAUGGAAGUUAUGGGGUACCCCACAUACAUAUGACCCUAGUCCGAGAUUUCUCUGACGUCCAACGGCUGUUUUGCCAGACAAGCUGGGGCUAAUCUCGGACUAAUAUGAACCUAACUUGGCUACGAAAUAAGUUAUUAAAAAUGAUGAUUAAAAAAGACUAAUUCAUUGACACUAACCAUUGCUAACGGUAGCGUAAAAAUGAC